AUUGAACGCUGGCGGCAUGCCUUACACAUGCAAGUCGAACGGUAACAGGUCUUCGGAUGCUGACGAGUGGCGAACGGGUGAGUAAUGCAUCGGAACGUGCCCAGUAGUGGGGGGAUAGCCCGGCGAAAGCCGGAUUAAUACCGCAUACGACCUGAGGGUGAAAGGGGGGGAUCGCAAGACCUCUCGCUAUUGGAGCGGCCGAUGUCAGAUUAGCUAGUUGGUGGGGUAAAGGCCUACCAAGGCAACGAUCUGUAGUUGGUCUGAGAGGACGACCAGCCACACUGGGACUGAGACACGGCCCAGACUCCUACGGGAGGCAGCAGUGGGGAAUUUUGGACAAUGGGCGCAAGCCUGAUCCAGCAAUGCCGCGUGCAGGAAGAAGGCCUUCGGUUGUAACUAGCUUUGUUCAGGGAAGGAAAUACUUCUGGGUUAAUACCUCGGGAGGAGUGACGGUACCUGAAGAAUAAGCACCGGCUAACUACGUGCCAGCAGCCGCGGUAA
This 501-nucleotide ribosomal RNA is filed under the name uncultured bacterium. RNAcentral's name for it is "bacterial SSU rRNA". It matches the Rfam family "Bacterial small subunit ribosomal RNA", at positions 30 to 523 of the family's 1533-position model. The record is from RNAcentral.